UACGGAGGGAGCUAGCGUUGUUCGGAAUUACUGGGCGUAAAGGGCGCGUAGGUGGCGGGACAAGCGUGCGGUGAAAGCUCGGGGCUCAACCCCGCGUCGGCCGUGCGAACUGUUUUGCUUGAGCACUGUAGAGGCAGGCGGAAUUCCGGGUGUAGCGGUGGAAUGCGUAGAGAUCCGGAAGAACACCGGUGGCGAAGGCGGCCUGCUGGGCAGUAGCUGACACUGAGGCGCGACAGCGUGGGGAGCAAACAGG
This 253-nucleotide ribosomal RNA is filed under the name uncultured bacterium. Its description in RNAcentral is "partial 16S ribosomal RNA". It matches the Rfam family "Bacterial small subunit ribosomal RNA", at positions 524 to 776 of the family's 1533-position model. The record is from RNAcentral.